UCUAUGGCCAUACCACCCUGAACGCGCCCGAUCUCUUCUGAUCUCAGAAGCUAAGAAGGGUCGGGCCCAGUUAGUACUUGGAUGGAGAAAAAAGAAGAAUGAACAAUCAUUCAAGAAUUAUGGGACUAUGUGAA
RNAcentral lists this ribosomal RNA (134 nucleotides) under Prolemur simus (greater bamboo lemur). Lineage: Eukaryota; Metazoa; Chordata; Mammalia; Primates; Lemuridae. The record is from RNAcentral.